UUCGGGUUUUUAUAAAAUGUUUAUCAUUAUUUAACAAAGAUGAUUAUUAAAAAUGAAACAAUCAUAGGUAUGUUUCUUAGUUUUCUAAAUAGGUGACAGAAAACAAUAUGUAAAACUUAAAGACUACAUGCAAUAUGACAAUGUUGUUGACGAGGAGUAACAUCCCUUUCAUGAUCCCAUUUCUACAGAGAGUGACUUGUGUAUUCUGAUCUGAUGUGUGUAUUCAUGAUCCCAUUACUACAGAGAGUGACUUGUGUAUCCUGAUCUGAUGUGUGUAUUCAUGAUCCCAUUACUACAGAGAGUGACUUGUGUAUUCUGAUCUGAUGUGUGUAUUCAUGAUCCCAUUACUACAGAGAGUGACUUGUGUAUCCUGAUCUGAUCUGAUGUGUGUAUUCAUGAUCCCAUUACUACAGAGAGUGACUUGUGUAUCCUGAUCUGAUGUGUGUAUUCUGAUGAAGACCAAUCAUCAACAGUGGCUGGAGGGUUUAUGUUUUUUGAUAAACAUGAAAAACUGAUACACACUUAACUAGUUUUCCCCAGUCUGGUUAUUGCUGUACACCUACAGUACAACCAACCAAACACAUAGAACACAUUGAAAUGUGUUAAAUAAAAUACCUUGGAAAACAAAUUAUAACAACUGUUUUUUCACUGGAUUUUUUUGUUCUGCUUUGAAAAGCAAAAACAUACCUGCCAUGGAGAAGCCGUAAGACUGCUUAUACUUAUUAUAUUAUACUAUCAUAUGUCACGAUUGAGUGACAUUGAACCGAGACAGUUUUAUUUUCACUAAGUAUACAAAACAUGAAGAACACCUGCUCUUUCCAUGACAAACUACCCCAGGUGAAUCCAGGUGAAAGCUAUGAUCCCCGAUUGAUGUCACUUGUAAAAUGUAGACGAGGAGGAGACGGGUUAAAGAAGGAUUUUUAAGCCUUGAGAAAAUUGAGACAGGUUAUUGUUGCCAUUCAGAGGGUGAAUGGGCAAGACAACAUAUUGAAGUGCCUUUGAACAUGGGUAUGGUAGUAGAUGCCAGGCACACCAGCUUGUCAAGAACUGCAACGCUGCUGGGUUUUUCACGCAACAGUGUCCCCGUGUGUAUCAAAAAUGGACCACCACCCAAAAGGACAUCCAGUCAACUUGACACAAAUGCGGGAAGCAUUGGAGUCAACAUAGGCCAGCAUCCCUGUGGAAGGCUUUCGACACCUUGUAGAGUCAACAUAGGCCAGCAUCCCUGUGGAAGGCUUUCGACACCUUGUAGAGUCAACAUAGGCCAGCAUCCCUGUGGAAGGCUUUCUACACCUUGUAGAGUCAACAUACGCCAGCAUCCCUGUGGAACGCUUUGACACCUUGUAGAGUCCCUGCCCCGACGAAUUGAGGCUGUUCUGAGGGCAAAAGGGGGUACAAAGCCAUGUUCGGAAGGUGUUCUUAAUGUUUGGUAUACUCAGUGUAUAUCUCAGCCAAAUCUUCCAUAGUUUGCUACUGAGUGUUCGCCAGUAGGAUGUGUAGAGAGGGAAGACUACGUUUCAAAUGACACCCAAUUCCUCAUAAAGCCUGAAAUCCAGAACUUGUUUUGUGCCCAAAUUAAUAAAUUGGCAUGACAAGGAGUGUUAAGGAGAGGAAUGUUAGCUCAAAACUGACUGGAUUUCUCCAGGAUAAUUCCCCACAUGGCUCUGGUCUAAAGUAGUGCACUAUGUAGGGAAUAGGGUGCCAUAGGGCUCUGGUCUAAAGUAGUGCACUAUAUAGGGAAUAGGGUGCCAUAGGGCUCUGGUCUAAAGUAGUGCACUAUAUAGGGAAUAGGGUGCCAUAGGGCUCUGGUCUAAAGUAGUGCACUAUGUAGGGAAUAGGGUGCCAUAGGGCUCUGGUCUAAAGUAGGGCACUAUAUAGGGAAUAGGGUGCCAUAGGGCUCUGGUCUAAAGUAGGGCACUAUAUAGGGAAUAGGGUGCCACAGGGCUCUGGUCAAAAGUAGGGCACGAUAAAGGGCACUAUAAAUGGGUGUCAUUUGGGACGUAUCCAUGCAGUCAUAUCCUCACAAAAGAGCUGCAAGACUGUAUUGAGCUGCUAGCCAAUCACUGAACAGUAAAAGUGACCAGGAACUGACUACUGCUGAAUGGCUAUUGGCUUCUGUGCAUGAUACACACACACACCCUCAGAGUCACAUAUAUUUAAAAGAGAAAAUGAUAAAAAGUAUAUAUUUCAUUAAAAAAAAAAAAAAUUAAGGCCAAAUAUAUGCAAUGUUUUUACAUAAUAUAUGGCAUAUAAUGCGUACACUACACAGAAAAUAUUUGUUAAUAAAUGUAUUGUUCCAGAACAUUAUGCUAUAUAUACCAUUUCUAUUUACAUAAAUAAAGUAAACACAGUACAGAUUUAAUAUGCAUAUGGCAGAACCUAAACUGCAGUUAUAAAACACAUUAUUCACCAUCAUUCCCUAAUGCUUUAUCCAUAUACUGUAUCUUACAGGGCUGUAAUGAUAAGUAACUCAAUUCUACUCAACCACCUACAGGUAUAUUGCUUUUUUAUGAAAAUAAAUGACAGAGUAAAUUGUGCACAGUAGUCAGUGGCCAUCCAGCCCGUGGGUUAUAUAUAUAUAUAUAUAUAUAUAUAUAUAUAUUACUCCAGACUGAACCCAUAGUGAAACCAUAGAGUUAGAUAGAUGACUCAUCUCUGUAUCUGUGUCAUUCCGGGUUAUAUCUAUCAAGAGUUCUCUAACUCUAUGGGUGAAACGCAGCAUAUAUGAGGUUGGAAACAGGCUAAAUAAACAAACAUAAAUCAAUGUGAAGUAUCUGUCAUAGUAUGAAUGAAUGUAAAAGAUGCAAAAAUGAAACAUAAGAAUAGGAAGCAUAGAAGUAGUGCACAUAGAACAGAUCUACCGCGUCUUAGACUUGCUUUCAAUGAUAGUGAUAGAUCUAUUACUCACAUUUCUAUGUGAAUUUGGUCAGGUCGCCCAAAAAGUGACAUAUUGCAGAUUUUAUAUAUAUAUAUUUUUUUUUAAACGUCUCACCGCAUUCUGUGAGUUUAAAAAAAUAUAUUUUAUUCCUGAAUUCCUGAACUGACCCAGGCAGAAACACAGAGGAGGCAGGAACACAGAGAGGCAGGAACACAGAGAGGCAGGAACACAGAGGAGGCAGGAACACAGAGGAGGCAGGAACACAGAGGAGGCAGGAACACAGAGGAGGCAGGAACACAGAGGAGGCAGGAACACAGAGGAGGCAGGAACACAGAGAGGCAGGAACACAGAGAGGCAGGAACACAGAGUGGCAGGAACACAGAGAGGCAGGAACACAGAGUGAUAAAACCGUGUAGAUUAAAGUUGAGAGCCACUCUUAACGUUCUUGCUAUUGAGGACUAUAGAACAAUGUGCCGACAAAACACAGUAUUGUAACUGUUUAGUCUACUCUACGGCUGGCUGCUCAGCCUAGUUUUCCUGAGUGACUCUUGACACACUUUAAUAGCAUACCAACACACAACGUUCAACUGGAUUAUACAACAUGUUUACCAAUAAAAGGUAAUUAUAAAUGGCACCCUAUGAGAGAAUCCUGUUCAUUUACUACAGCUCUGCGUUCAACACCAUUGUCCCCUCCAAGCACUUUCCUCUGUAACUUGAUCUGGGACUUCCUGACGAGCCGAUCCCAGGUGGUGAGUGUAGGCAACAUCAUCUCCGCUAUGCUGACUCUCAACAUGGGGGGGGCCACAGGGGUGUGUGCUUAGUCCCCUCCUGUACUCCCUGUUCACCCACGACUGCGUGGCCACGCACGACUCCAACAAUGAGUCAGCCUACAGGGAGGUCAGAGCAAUGUGGUGCCGGAAACAACAACCUCUCCCUGAAUGUCAGUAAGACCAAGGAGCUGAUCGUGGACUACAGGAAACAAGAACGCCCCAUCCACAUCGACGGGGAACCAGAACGCCCUCAUCCACACCGACAGGGAACAAGAACGCCCUCAUCCGCAUCGACGGGGAACAAGAACGCCCUCAUCCACAUCGACGGGGAACAAGAACGCCCUCAUCCACAUCGACGGGGCUGCAGUGGAGCAGGUAGUCAAGCUUCAUAUUCCUCGGUAUCUAAAUCACAAAAAAUACUUAAAAUGGUCCAAAACACACGCAGUCAUGAAGAAGGCGCGACAGUGCCUGCGACAGUGGCAAUAUCACCGCCCUCGAUCGCAUGGCACUACAGAGGGUGGUGAGGACAGCCCAGUACAUCACUGGGGCCCAGCUCCCUGACAUCCAAGACCUCUACAUCAGAGGGUGGUGAGGACAGCCCAGUACAUCACUGGGACUAAGCUCCCUGCCAUCCAGGAUCUCUAUAUCAGAGGGUGGUGAGGACAGCCCAGUACAUCACUAGGACUAAGCUCCCUGCCAUCCAGGAUCUCUAUAUCAGAGGGUGGUGAGGACAGCCCAGUACAUCACUGGGACUAAGCUCCCUGCCAUCCAUGACCUCUAUAUCAGAGGGUGGUGAGGACAGCCCAGUACAUCACUGGGGCCCAGCUCUCUGCCAUCCAGGACCUCUAUAUCAGAGGGUGGUGAGGACAGCCCAGUACAUCACUGGGGCCCAGCUCUCUGCCAUCCCAUCCAGGACCUCUACAUCAGACGGUUUGUCGUCAAAGACCUCAACCAUCCAAGCCACAGACUAUUUUCUCUGCCGCCGCGGUGCAUCAGGUCUGACAACAGGCUCUUGAACAGCUUCUAUCCCCAAGCAAUACGACUGAUAAAUAGCAACACUAAAUAGCUACACGGAUUGAGUUUACCCUUUUAUUUCAGUCUCUAUGCACAAUGUCACAGGGCCCUGUUUAGUCUACACACUGUCACUCCAACACAUAAUAUACAUGUAUAGUGACUCAACACACCCGCACUCACAUACAAGCUGCCACUACUCUGUUUAUCAUAUAUCCUGUUGCCUAGUCUCCUUCCCCCUAUACAUAUCUACCUCCAUCACUCCAGUAUCCCUGUCUCCUUCCCCCUAUACAUAUCUACCUCCAUCACUCUAGUAUCCCUGUCUCCUUCUCCCUAUACAUAUCUACCUCCAUCACUCCAGUAUCCCUGUCUCCUUCCCCCUAUACAUAUCUACCUCCAUCACUCCAGUAUCCCUGUCUCCUUCCCCC
Molecule: long non-coding RNA, 5087 nt
Organism: Oncorhynchus tshawytscha (Chinook salmon)
Lineage: Eukaryota; Metazoa; Chordata; Actinopteri; Salmoniformes; Salmonidae
Source: Ensembl